UACGUAAGGGGCAAGCGUUAUCCGGAAUCACUGGGCGUAAAGGGUGCGCAGGCGGCUUAUCAAGCCAGGGGUGAAAGGCAUUGGCUCAACCCCUGUACGCCUUUGGAACUGAUAGGCUUGAAUGGAGGAAAGGUAAGAGGAAUUCCUAGUGGAGAGGUGAAAUUCGUAGAUAUUAGGAGGAACACCAGUGGCGAAGGCGACUUACGUGGACUGUAACUGACGCUGAAGGACGAAAGCGUGGGUAGCGAACAGGAAUAAAAACCCUGGGAGGCCACGCCGCAAACGAAGAAUACUAGGUGUCGGGCGUCAAAACUCGCCGCCGCAGCAAACGCAUUAAGUAUUCCGCCUGGGGAGUACGCACGCAAGUGUGAAACUCAAAGGAAUUGACGGGAACCCGCACAAGCAGCGGAGCAUGUGGUUUAAUUCGAAGCAACGCGAAGAACCUUACCAGGUCUUGACAUCCCUCUGAAGUAGCCUUAGCCGAGUAUGUCCUUCGGGACAGAGGAGACAGGUGGUGCAUGGUUGUCGUCAGCUCGCGUCGUGAGAUGUUGGGUUAAGUUCCGCAACGAGCGCCACCCCUAUGUUUAGUUGUCAUCACGGUAAAGCUGGACCCUCUAGACAGACUGCCGUGGAUAACACGGAGGAAGGUGGGGAUGACGUCAAAUCAUCAUGCCCCUUACGAUCUGGGCUACACACGUGCUACAAUGGUCGGUACAACGGGCAGCGAAGUCGUAAGAUGGAGCGAAUCCUAAAAAGCCGAUCUCAGUUCGGAUUGUGGGCUGAAACUCGCCCACAUGAAGUAGGAGUUGCUAGUAAUCGCGAAUCAGAAUGUCGCGGUGAAUGCGUUCCCGGGUCU
This 856-nucleotide ribosomal RNA is filed under the name uncultured bacterium. Its description in RNAcentral is "SSU rRNA". It matches the Rfam family "Bacterial small subunit ribosomal RNA", at positions 524 to 1381 of the family's 1533-position model. The record is from RNAcentral.